AGAAUAUUGGCAACUUUAUUAAAGCUAUUCAGGCUUAUGGUAUGAAGCCACAUGACAUAUUUGAAGCAAAUGAUCUUUUUGAGAAUGGAAACAUGACCCAGGUCCAGACUACACUGGUGGCUCUAGCAGGUCUGGCUAAAACAAAAGGAUUCCAUACAACCAUUGACGUUGGAGUUAAGUAUGCAGAAAAACAAACAAGACGUUUUGAUGAAGGAAAAUUAAAAGCUGGCCAAAGUGUAAUUGGUUUGCAGAUGGGAACCAACAAAUGCGCCAGCCAAGCAGGUAUGACAGCCUAUGGGACUAGGAGGCAUCUUUAUGAUCCCAAAAUGCAAACUGACAAACCUUUUGACCAGACGACGAUUAGUCUGCAGAUGGGCACCAACAAAGGAGCCAGCCAGGCGGGGAUGUUAGCACCGGGUAGCAGGAGAGACAUUUACGAUCAGAAGCUAACAUUACAACCAGUGGACAACUCGACAAUUUCUCUACAGAUGGGUACAAACAAAGUCGCUUCCCAGAAAGGAAUGAGUGUGUAUGGGCUGGGGCGGCAAGUAUAUGAUCCCAAAUACUGUGCUGCUCCCACAGAACCUGUCAUUCACAAUGGAAGCCAAGGAACAGGAACAAAUGGGUCAGAAAUCAGUGAUAGCGAUUAUCAGGCAGAAUACUCAGAUGAGUAUCACGGCGAGUACCAAGAUGACUACCCCCGAGAUUACCAAUAUGGCGACCAAGGCAUUGAUUAUUAGAGUCCCACAGAGCAGCUCCGUAUUUAGCCAUUGUUUUUAUUCAGUGAGAACCAAGCUAGCCUUGAGUAAUUUUUAUCUUGUCUUCCUAAAACACUAUUAUGCUUAUUGUACCUAAAAGAAAUAUUGCCUUACAUACAUUCCUUUUUCCUUUUUCUGCCUCUUCCCUAAAUAGUUGCCUUUUAGUGCUGUAACAGUUAAAUCCUACAGCAUAACUGAUAACUCGCAUAUGAAGUAAAAAGGAAUACUGUGAAAGGGGAGUACUCUUGUACAGUCAAUUCUUUUAUGAAAGAUCUAUGCAUUUUUACAAUCUUCUACUUAAACUGGUAUUUUCAAACAAUAGGAACCUAUUUUUUGUUUUUUUACAGUUUAGUAUCUCGUUUCUACAUGGAAGACUAAACUCAUGCUUAUAGCUAAAUGUGGUCUUUGCCAAUUGAAUUUAAGAUGCAGCAUUUUAGAAAUUGACAUAUCAAUGUUUAUACAGUAUUGUGUGCUAAUUUUGAAAUAAAGUCAUGCUCAGUGUG
Molecule: non-coding RNA, 1261 nt
Organism: Ceratotherium simum simum (southern white rhinoceros)
Lineage: Eukaryota; Metazoa; Chordata; Mammalia; Perissodactyla; Rhinocerotidae
Source: RefSeq, a predicted model, not a curated record